This 354-nucleotide ribosomal RNA is filed under the name uncultured bacterium. RNAcentral's name for it is "partial 16S ribosomal RNA". It matches the Rfam family "Bacterial small subunit ribosomal RNA", at positions 338 to 689 of the family's 1533-position model. The record is from RNAcentral.
CCUACGGGAGGCAGCAGUGAGGAAUAUUGGUCAAUGGGCGAGAGCCUGAACCAGCCAAGUCGCGUGAAGGAUGACGGCCCUACGGGUUGUAAACUUCUUUUGUCAGGGAGCAAGUGGGUCCACGCGUGGGCUGAGCGAGAGGACCUGAAGAAAAAGCAGCGGCGAACUCCGUGCCAGCAGCCGCGGUAAUAAGGAGGAUGCGAGCGUUAGCCGGAUUGAUGGGGUUUAAAGGGUGCGUAGGCGGAAUAUCAAGUCAGCGGUAAAAAUUCGGGGCUCAACCCCGUCGUGCCGUUGAAACUGCUGUUCUUGUGUGGGCGACAAGUAUGCGGACUGCGUGUUGUAGCGGUGCAAUGC